This 383-nucleotide unclassified non-coding RNA is filed under the name uncultured Phycisphaeraceae bacterium. RNAcentral describes it as "contains 16S-23S intergenic spacer region". The record is from RNAcentral. Lineage: Bacteria; Pseudomonadati; Planctomycetota; Phycisphaerae; Phycisphaerales; Phycisphaeraceae.
UCCGGCUUGACGCCGGCAGUCUCGUUAGAGUCCUCAGCAUUACCUGUUAGCAACUAACGACAAGGGUUGCGCUCGUUAAUGGACUUAACCAAACACUUCACAGCACGAGCUGACGACAGCCAUGCAGCACCUGUUCACGUUGUACCCUUGCGGGCCUCAUUGAUGUUUCCACCAACUAAUCCGUGUAUGUCAAACCCGGGUAAGGUUCUUCGCGUUGCUUCGAAUUAAGCAACAUGCUCCACCGCUUGUGUGAGCCCCCGUCAAUUUCUUUGAGUUUUAGCCUUGCGGCCGUACUCCCCAGGCGGAAUGCUUAAAGCGUUAACUGCGCCACUGAAGAGUAAACUCCCCAACGGCUGGCAUUCAUCGUUUACGGCGUGGACUAC